CCUACGGGAGGCAGCAGUGGGGAAUAUUGCACAAUGGAGGAAACUCUGAUGCAGCGACGCCGCGUGAGCGAAGAAGGAAUUCGUUUCGUAAAGCUCUGUCCUAUGGGAAGAUAAUGACGGUACCAUAGGAGGAAGCCCCGGCUAACUACGUGCCAGCAGCCGCGGUAAU
Molecule: ribosomal RNA, 169 nt
Filed under: uncultured bacterium
Lineage: Bacteria
Description: partial 16S ribosomal RNA
Rfam family: Bacterial small subunit ribosomal RNA
Source: RNAcentral